RNAcentral lists this ribosomal RNA (433 nucleotides) under uncultured bacterium. RNAcentral's name for it is "partial 16S ribosomal RNA". It matches the Rfam family "Bacterial small subunit ribosomal RNA", at positions 29 to 507 of the family's 1533-position model. The record is from RNAcentral.
AGCGAACGCUGGCGGCAGGCUUAACACAUGCAAGUCGAGCGGGCACUUCGGUGUCAGCGGCAGACGGGUGAGUAACACGUGGGAACGUACCCUUCGGUUCGGAAUAACGCUGGGAAACUAGCGCUAAUACCGGAGACGCCCUUUUGGGGAAAGGUUUACUGCCGAAGGAUCGGCCCGCGUCUGAUUAGCUAGUUGGUGGGGUAAUGGCCUACCAAGGCGACGAUCAGUAGCUGGUCUGAGAGGAUGAUCAGCCACACUGGGACUGAGACACGGCCCAGACUCCUACGGGAGGCAGCAGUGGGGAAUAUUGGACAAUGGGCGCAAGCCUGAUCCAGCCAUGCCGCGUGAGUGAUGAAGGCCUUAGGGUUGUAAAGCUCUUUUGUCCGGGACGAUAAUGACGGUACCGGAAGAAUAAGCCCCGGCUAACUUCGUG